UGCAGUCGAGCGAGAAAGCGUUCUUCGGAACGUGAGUACAGUGGCGGACGGGUGAGUAACACGUGGGGAACCUGCCCUCAAGCUGGGAACAACCCGCCUAACGGCGGGCUAAUACCGAAUGUGGUUGUCAGUCCGCAUGGAAUGACAAUUAAAGGUGGCCUCUCCUUGGAAGCUACCGCUUGUGGAUGGCCCCGCGCUCAAUUAGCUAGUUGGUAGGGUAACGGCCUACCAAGGCGACGAUUGAUAGCCGACCUGAGAGGGUGACCGGCCACACUGGGAUUGAGAUAAGGCCCAGUCUCCUACGGGAGCCAGCAGUCUAGAAAUUUGGGCAAUGGGCGAAAGCCUGACCCAGCGACGCCGCGUGGGGGAUGAAGCUUCUCGGAGUGUAAACCCCUGUUAGGUGGGACGAAAGCCCGUAUACGAACAGUAGGCGGGUUUGACGGUACCACCAGAGGAAGCUCCGGCUAACUCCGUGCCAGCAGCCGCGGUAAUACGGGGGGAGCAAGCGUUGUUCGGAGUUAUUGGGCGUAAAGGGCGUACAGGCGGUGGUGUCAGUCAGAUGUGAAAUCCCCCGGCUCAACCGGGGACCUGCAUUUGAUACUGCAUCACUUGAGUACAGGAGAGGAGAGCGGAAUUUUCGGUGUAGCGGUGGAAUGUGUAGAUAUCGAAAAGAACACCAGUGGCGAAGGCGGCUCUCUGGCCUGAUACUGACGCUGACGCGCGAAAGCCAGGGGAGCAAACAGGAUUAGAUACCCUGGUAGUCCUGGCUGUAAACGUUGGGCACUAGGUGUUGGAGGUAUCGACCCCUUCAGUGCCGAAGCUAACGCAUUAAGUG
RNAcentral lists this ribosomal RNA (835 nucleotides) under uncultured bacterium. RNAcentral describes it as "bacterial SSU rRNA". It matches the Rfam family "Bacterial small subunit ribosomal RNA", at positions 56 to 866 of the family's 1533-position model. The record is from RNAcentral.